This 64-nucleotide transfer RNA is filed under the name Charybdis miles. RNAcentral's name for it is "tRNA-Gly". The record is from RNAcentral. RNAcentral also lists the same sequence under 2 other names. Lineage: Eukaryota; Metazoa; Arthropoda; Malacostraca; Decapoda; Portunidae.
AUUUUUUUAAUAUAACAAAGUAUAUCUGACUUCCAAUCAGAAAGUCUAGCUUCUAGAAAAAAUA